RNAcentral lists this ribosomal RNA (476 nucleotides) under uncultured bacterium. RNAcentral's name for it is "bacterial SSU rRNA". It matches the Rfam family "Bacterial small subunit ribosomal RNA", at positions 335 to 800 of the family's 1533-position model. The record is from RNAcentral.
ACUCCUCACGGGGAGGCAGCAGUGGGGAAUAUUGCACAAUGGGCGCAAGCCUGAUGCAGCCAUGCCGCGUGUGUGAAGAAGGCCUUCGGGUUGUAAAGCACUUUCAGUCGUGAGGAAGGUAGUGUAGUUAAUAGCUGCAUUAUUUGACGUUAGCGACAGAAGAAGCACCGGCUAACUCCGUGCCAGCAGCCGCGGUAAUACGGAGGGUGCGAGCGUUAAUCGGAAUUACUGGGCGUAAAGCGCAUGCAGGUGGUUUGUUAAGUCAGAUGUGAAAGCCCGGGGCUCAACCUCGGAAUUGCAUUUGAAACUGGCAGACUAGAGUACUGUAGAGGGGGGUAGAAUUUCAGGUGUAGCGGUGAAAUGCGUAGAGAUCUGAAGGAAUACCGGUGGCGAAGGCGGCCCCCUGGACAGAUACUGACACUCAGAUGCGAAAGCGUGGGGAGCAAACAGGAUUAGAUACCCUGGUAGGAUAGCGU